Molecule: long non-coding RNA, 211 nt
Filed under: Vigna radiata
Lineage: Eukaryota; Viridiplantae; Streptophyta; Magnoliopsida; Fabales; Fabaceae
Description: long non-coding RNA (VRAD_LNC013475)
Source: RNAcentral
AGAUGUAUGUGGUAAAGAGGGUUGAUCAGUAACUUUUGAGAAAAAAGGUGAUGGAGAUGAAUUGAUUUUGGUGACCAAAUCCAAUGAAUUUAAAUUUUGUGUAUCAAUAGGUGAGUGCUUGUCACUAGUAAGAAAAGGAAAUAUGUUUUCAUAAAAUACUACAUUCCUUGAUAGAAAAAUUUACCUUGAGUUGAAAUCUAACAAAAGGUAG